UAAAGCGUGCGCAGGCGGUUUUGUAAGUCUGUCGUGAAAUCCCCGGGCUCAACCUGGGAAUUGCGAUGGAGACUGCAAGGCUAGAAUCUGGCAGAGGGGGGUAGAAUUCCACGUGUAGCAGUGAAAUGCGUAGAGAUGUGGAGGAACACCGAUGGCGAAGGCAGCCCCCUGGGUCAAGAUUGACGCUCAUGCACGAAAGCGUGGGGAGCAAACAGGAUUAGAUACCCUGGUAGUCCACGCCCUAAACGAUGUCUACUAGUUGUCGGGUUUUAAUUAACUUGGUAACGCAGCUAACGCGUGAAGUAGACCGCCUGGGGAGUACGGUCGCAAGAUUAAAACUCAAAGGAAUUGACGGGGACCCGCACGAGCGGUGGAUGAUGUGGAUUAAUUCGAUGCAACGCGAAAAACCUUACCUACCCUUGACAUGUACGGAAGCCACGAGAGAUCGAGGUGUGCUCGAAAGAGAGCCGUAACACAGGUGCUCGNCAUGGCCUCGUCUGUCACGGCUUCGCUGCUCGUGAGAUGUUGGGUUAAGUCCCGCAACGAGCGCAACCCUUGUCAUUAGUUGCUACGAAAGAGCACUCUAAUGAGACUGCCGGUGACAAACCGGAGGAAGGUGGGGAUGACGUCAAGUCCUCAUGGCCCUUAUGGGUAGGGCUUCACACGUCAUACAAUGGUACAUACAGAGGGCCGCCAACCCGCGAGGGGGAGCUAAUCCCAGAAAGUGUAUCGUAGUCCGGAUUGUAGUCUGCAACUCGACUACAUGAAGUUGGAAUCGCUAGUAAUCGC
Molecule: ribosomal RNA, 789 nt
Filed under: uncultured Janthinobacterium sp.
Lineage: Bacteria; Pseudomonadati; Pseudomonadota; Betaproteobacteria; Burkholderiales; Oxalobacteraceae
Description: bacterial SSU rRNA
Rfam family: Bacterial small subunit ribosomal RNA
Source: RNAcentral